GGAUUGUGGCUCAGUGGUAGAGAGCUAGCCUCCCAUGUGCGGGGCCCUGGGUUCAAAACUCAGCACCA
This 68-nucleotide transfer RNA is filed under the name Marmota monax (woodchuck). RNAcentral's name for it is "tRNA.Gly". The record is from RNAcentral. Lineage: Eukaryota; Metazoa; Chordata; Mammalia; Rodentia; Sciuridae.